Balaenoptera musculus (blue whale) is the source of this 3452-nucleotide long non-coding RNA. RefSeq lists it as uncharacterized. The record is from RefSeq and is a predicted model, not a curated record. NCBI's taxonomy places the organism in Eukaryota, Metazoa, Chordata, Mammalia, Artiodactyla, Balaenopteridae. The transcript is spliced from 6 exons.
GGUUGUGCUUAGCAGUGGUUCAGCUCGAGACCUGCACUGUCUGCAUCCCCGGGGCCUUUCAUCUCUUCUGUUUCCAUUUGUCACAACUUCCCAGAAAGUGGGCUGUGGCAGAAUGCAUCUCGCCUGACUCCAGCCAGCUGCAGGUGUCUGGAAGAGGGUUGAAGAUGGUCAGAUGCUAAGGGCAGAGCCCCUCUUCUUCUCUCCAACCCCAAGCCCCAAGUGCCAGGGUAAGAAAGCUGAGAUUCAGAAGGAUUCUGCACAAGAGAGCCAAUUUUUGGAUGCUGCCACGCAGAGAGAGACAACAGCCAGCCAGUCUUGAAGAGCAGCAGCCAACCAACAGAGAGACGGCCACUUCCCCAUGGCCUCCCGGUCCCUGUCCACAGCCCCGCCGCAGAUGGGAGCAGGGGGGUAGUGGCAGAGGACAGACCGCCUUCUGCCACCCUCCACUCAGGCCACCAGGGCCAUGGCCACGUCUAGCUUCCCUGGGAGUGGAGGCCGAGAGCUUUGAAGGAGAGCUUGACCUGGACAUUUUUAAGUACCAGCCUGUGUAAUCCUCACAGCAGCUGCGAGAAUAAGAGCUGCACCUGCCAGAGGCCACCCGGUUAGAAAGAGGUGGUGCUGGGAUCUGCAUCCACUGGCCAUCUCUGGAGACCACCAUGAGCCAGGGCCCCUGGUGACGGCCCAGGGAAGGGGCAGGUGCGGCGCCGUGGAAGGUCGGAGGAGGGCAGAGGCAAAGAAGGCCAUGGAAACGACCGAACGUUAACCCACUGAAGACCCGCCACCCCAUUAACUGGCUAGAAUGGAGGUGUUCCUGCGGCUCCACUGAACAGAAACAGAUCCUGAGAUCCUGAGACCUUAAGUAAAUACUACGGUAGGUGGUAUACCAUCUGCAGUUUGCUGAACCCGCGGAUGUGGAACCGCGGACGUGGAAGAAUCGCAUACACAGAGGGCCGACACUAAGUUAUAUGUGUAUUUUUGACUGCUCGGAGGGUCGACGCCCCUAACCUCCAUGUUGUUCAAGGGUCAAGUGUACUGCUUUCAUGUUUUAUAUAUUGAGUUUAUUCAUCUGACAAAUGAGGGAGCUAAGUUUAGAGAGUAAUUUGCACAAAGCACAGGGCUCAGCUACUAGAGAAAGCAACACCCUGCCACUGCCAGGCCAGUGCCCUACCGAUCCUCCUGGCCACCCUGGGGUAUUCCCCUCCUCCCCGAUUUACAACCGGGCAGACAGAGGUCCUGAGAGGACUCGGGGCAGCUGGACUGAGAACCAGCCCCUGAGCAUGUGUUCUUACCACCUCCAGCCUCAGCAGAGGUAGCUUCUGGUGAAAGGUGUGGAUAGGUUUUAUCAGUGUACUUGGUAGCCAGGGCUGUCCUGAGAGAGGUGACAGUAUCUGUGCAGGGAAACGUGAGCACUUAGGUGACUCAGAAAGCACCAUGGGUGCUUGGUCUCAUGGCCACAGGUGGGCCCCCCGUCAGGGACCCUGUGACCCAAUCAUAGGCCACAGUGGGUGGAAAACUGAAUCUUCCCCCAGCCCCACCAGACUGUAAACCAGAGUAAGGGGUGCCAUGAACACCUGCGGGAAAGAGGGGUGCACCUGUCGAUUUAUCUGGGGACGAGAGCCGGCUUGGCUGGACAGCAACCUGAGGACCACCGCCACAAUGACAAGAGGCAGUGUGGUCUACACUGCAGAACUCAAAGGAGCCAACCACGGACCAGGUGUAAGAAAAUGCAGCUGAAAGCACACAUUCAGGAUCCCACCUUCUGUGGCCCCUGGGAGAGGGUGCCACUAGAGGGAUGUGAAAGAGAUGCCUUGUUUCUCUUGCCAACUUUCUUUUGGGAUGUGUCCCGUAAAGCACUGCCUGUCAUACUUUGCUAACGAAAGAUAAUGGACAUCCAGACCUCAAUUAUCCAAAAGUGGAUUAUCCAUUUGGGGGAUUAGCUAAGCAAAAUUAAAACCGCAGACCAGGCUGAGUUCUCCCACCCUGUCCUCCAUUGAUUAUCUCUCAAGGAAUGAAAGCAAACUUUAGCCUGAGCAAACAUAAUUAGGAAUGUAAAUCUGCUGCUGGGAAAACAAAACAAAACACAAACGCAACAAAAACUAUCACCGUGUUACAAAGCCAAGCUGAAAUGGUGGUUGGCUUCUCUGUGCCAGGAUUGACCCUUUGUGGCUGGAGUACCCAAGGCUUUCUGGAGGAACUGUGAAAGUGCCCAAGUCCGAGUCUAGGCCUGCCAGAAGUUCAGACAACACCGAACAUAAAAGGCCUGGUCACUUAACCCAGGAGAGAAAGGAGAGAAAGGCUGAGGAGAGAGAUGGAUCUCAAAGAACGGGGUGCCCGGAACCUCCAUGCUGGGGCCACUCAAGAAAAAAACACUUCCUGUCCUGGAGGCAGGGAGAAGGCAGAGGGACCCUGAUGGGAUCAGCACCCCAAUCGAUCGCCGGUGGCGCUGGGAAUGGCCGCCUCGCCCCCAGCCCUGCGCACAGGCAGCCUGCUAUUGCUGGAAGCACACCUGCCAGGUCCUGGCCCAGCCCCCAGAGAGGUUCAUCACCACUCAACACUGAGCCCCAGCCAGGCUCCCUUCCCUCCCUGCCAGUUUCUCCCUGUCCCAGACUUAUGAAUGCUUUUCUUCCCAAGGGUUGAACAGCUCAGGAAUGGGGCCUCAAUGGUACCACGGGCACCGGUGCACACCUCCUCUUGGUGGCCUUUGAGCCUGGCAGCCUUAGGGGGUAUCUUAAGUAGUCUUUUCCAUAGCCUUGGAAAAGUCUGAGGGCAAUGCAUGUGGGCUCAGCACCAUGGGCCUUGCUGGCCCCCUUCUUCUCAAGGGUGUCAGCUCCCUUAUUCGCACUUCAGUUCCUAAUGAGUUAUCCCUCCAGCCCAAACCGCCCCAACCAGCCCCCGAGAAAUGGGGCCACUGGGAGCAAUGGGAGAGGUCUGAGCUGUUCUAGCCUCUCGGCUUCAGGCUGAACUCCAUCUGGGGUCAAUGUCCCAGUCCACAGCACUAACAGAUCGAGCAGCAUUGGGGCAUCUGGGCCAUUUAAGGACACUCAGGCCAAACCCCAAGGAGACUUGCGUGUCACUGCCAAGCCUGAGCCCCCAUGCCCCCACGUUCGGAGGGCCUUUCCCCUCAAGCUGUGGCACCCGUCUCUAUAACUGGCCCCUACUGUCUCCUCUGUGGCAUCAGGAGGGACCGAGAGGUAUGGCCCAUGCCCAACUCUGCCAGGGGCUAAAGGAACCAACUCCCAGAGAGCUGUCUCUUCACCUCUGAUACUUUCAGCAGACACACCAUGCAAAACAGAUGCCCCUGCUGUUACAAAGCCCAGGCACACCUGGCCAGCCAGCUCAGAGCCUGAGAGGCAGCACGUCUUCACCUGCACCUGCCAGGUCACUGUUAGGGGAGUUCUGGCUGUGGGGCUGGAGGCAGGGCCAGCAGGCUUGUGAGAGUGUGUGUGUCGGAG